GAUGAACGCUGGCGGCGUGCCUAAUGCAUGCAAGUCGAGCGAACAGACGAGGAGCUUGCUCCUCUGACGUUAGCGGCGGACGGGUGAGUAACACGUGGAUAACCUACCUAUAAGACUGGGAUAACUUCGGGAAACCGGAGCUAAUACCGGAUAAUAUAUUGAACCGCAUGGUUCAAUAGUGAAAGACGGUUUUGCUGUCACUUAUAGAUGGAUCCGCGCCGCAUUAGCUAGUUGGUAAGGUAACGGCUUACCAAGGCAACGAUGCGUAGCCGACCAGAGAGGGGGAUCGGCCACACUGGAACUGAGACACGGUCCAGACUCCUACGGGAGGCAGCAGUAGGGAAUCUUCCGCAAAGGGCGAAAGCCUGACGGAGCAACGCCGCGUGAGUGAUGAAGGUCUUCGGAUCGUAAAACUCUGUUAUUAGGGAAGAACAAAUGUGUAAGUAACUAUGCACGUCUUGACGGUACCUAAUCAGAAAGCCACGGCUAACUACGUG
This 497-nucleotide ribosomal RNA is filed under the name uncultured bacterium. Its description in RNAcentral is "partial 16S ribosomal RNA". It matches the Rfam family "Bacterial small subunit ribosomal RNA", at positions 28 to 507 of the family's 1533-position model. The record is from RNAcentral.